This is a long non-coding RNA of Halichondria panicea, 1421 nucleotides long. RefSeq lists it as uncharacterized. NCBI's taxonomy places the organism in Eukaryota, Metazoa, Porifera, Demospongiae, Suberitida, Halichondriidae. The record is from RefSeq and is a predicted model, not a curated record. The transcript is spliced from 4 exons.
CACCAGCCACAGCAAAAACUGCUAACAAAUACGGGAAUUACGGGAUGAUCGUUAAUGUCACACACACGGUACAGGUCACGGACUUUCACGGGGGAGUGGUUUAACGGGAACCGUAGACAACCGUUGCCGUGGGGGAGGGGCUGGACGGGCAACCGUAUGAAGACCGUGCAGUCUGACCACAUUAGCUGACGGACAAUAAAGAGACACCGUAUAUCUAUAGAGUUUUGCUACUAUAUAAUUAUGUGCCCACUUCAUCAAUGGCUAUACUAAUAAAAAAAACAGGGUGUAAAUCUAGUUGAUCAAGACGAGAGUGGAUUAGAGCCACAACCAAAGAGGACCAGAUCUAGAGCUGCUAGAUCUAGUGUCCUGUGUCCUCACUUGCGAUCAGCACAUAUCCAAAUCUAGUUAUUACGGUAUUCAGAUACAGACCUGAGUGACCAUGACUUGCCUGGAUAGCUAUAUUCAACUGGAGUUGUACUGUCGACUGGUUAUAAUAAUAAUAAACUUGCACUGUUUUAUAAUAAAUUAUUAUUCUUACUGAUAGGAGGAGGAGGAGGAGGAGGAGCUCGUAAUUGCGCAUGCGUAGUAUGAAACCCACAUUUUAAGCGGGAUUUGGAGAAGCUGAGGACUUGGAUUUUAAGAUCAAGAGCCUUCACGUUGACGUUGAGCAUGAGAGAGCCGGUUCUCUAGCUUCAUGGAAGGGAAGCCUGUACGUAUCUGUUCAUGAACCAGCCAAAAAGUGUGUUAAGACAAAUGCUCAUGUGAUCAAUCAAUGACAAUCGCGUACUGGGCGUGGAAUCAAAAAUAUGAUGUGUCAUGACAGUGGACAUUACAGGCACCCAUUAACGUGUUGAAAACGACUCGUUGGACAAUCAUAAUUAUUAUGAUGAUUUAAUAAUAGAAUCUCAGUACAGUAAUGUUGCAGACGUAAACCAACGAACUCUACCGUAAACACAUCAUCUUUCACUACAAUGUAAAGAUGAACAACAAGACCGACGAGGUCGAUCAAAUCGAUCAGAGUGAACCAAGCGAUUCGAGAGAGGCAAUCGAUCAGAGUGAACCCGUAACACGUGAUCAAGAUCACCUACCUGCACAGCACAUAUUUAAAACAAAACAUGUUUAAAGCAAAACAUGCAGCUUGUAUAGCGAAGCUGUUACGACCAACGGCAAAAGUGCUGGAUUUCGACAGAGUGAGAUUUAAAAGCACCGAGUAAAACGAAGAAACGAUAAAACGAAGAAAACGAAGGCUGAGCUUCCAUCAAAACUAGGCAAGAUAAGACAAGUGUACUACUGUGCCCAUAAAACUCUUCCAACUGACAGUGAAUUACUCAAAGACUUACAAACUUGCUACAAGAAUGCUAGCUACUUGGCACAUUAAGAUACCGUUCCGUAGCGUUUGCGUAGUAACAAAACGGUAAUUA